This is a long non-coding RNA of Lolium perenne, 2541 nucleotides long. RefSeq lists it as uncharacterized. The record is from RefSeq and is a predicted model, not a curated record. NCBI's taxonomy places the organism in Eukaryota, Viridiplantae, Streptophyta, Magnoliopsida, Poales, Poaceae.
UUCUCCAUUUUGUCGCGCCUCUCUCGGUCAAACCUCUCCUCACUCCUUUCUCCUCCCUUCCCCUCACGCAAAGCCGCAUCGCUAGGGUUAGCGCCACCGAGCCACCGCCUCCUUCUUCAUCAGCGACGGCCACCGCGCGCGACUGAUGGCUGGUAGGAGAGGCGGGACCAGAUCCCAGCCAUCGGAGCCAGAGAGAUGGAGAGUGCCGACCAUGUUCCCGACAGGCCUGAGGAGGAGCAGCGCCAGCCAAGCCCGAUGGCGACGGUGGAGGCCUGGAGUUGUGCCGUUUUCUAGGGCGCUUGGACCUCGCCGAGGGAGACGAGGAUGGGGGAGCAGGGUGGACCAGGAGAAGAUGGAAGAGAGAGCAUGGGGUGGAGGGGAUUUGGCCCUCAAAAUCCCUGCCUACACUCAGCCCUGGGCCCCUGGCAGUAGUCUCCCCCUCGGCCCCGAUGUGUGUUCCCUGGCUUCGAAUCUGGUGCCAUGUGCGGCUGUGCGUGCCAGCUCGAUGGUGGACGGCGGCACCAGGAGGAGCACGGCGGAGCUCGCCUCCGCCGGUGGUGGGGCGACGUGAGAUCGAGGCGCCGGACAGGGCUUCUAGGAGAAGACGGCUGGAAUCGGCAGCACAUGGUGACCAUGACUAGCGUGAGAUAUCGAGCUUCUAGGGCUCGCUGUGGCUGGUUAGCUCCGUCGAUGGGAGAUUGCAGCACUGGAGGCGGCCAUCAAGUUCCAGAUCAGUAUGUAUGCAGUUUCAUCCUGACCGACAACGAGUUGCAGCGUUCUUCUCUCGCCCGUCCCACCACUGUUGUCUUUUGUCGACCCUCCUCUUCAAUGCGCAAGUGAUCCACUACCCUUUGUCAGCGCCCAGGUGCCCACUGCCGUCCUUGAGCAGCUACCGCGGCGCACCUCGCCACACAGUAUUGCGCAAUACGCCGCUAGCCCUCAACUUGCACACUCUUAUGGGCGACACCGGGCGAAUUAGAUGGGCGCUAAAGCAGGGGUCAAGUGGAUAUAUAGCAGAGUUGGAGUCAGCAGCACAGGCUGCAGGCUGCGCCGUCAGCACAAGAUGACACAUCAAGAAAGUGCAAGCAUGCUCGCCAUGGGGACAACAGCCAGCAGCUGGAUCAUUAGGACACUUCAGUUCGAGAUAUUGAUGAGCAAUCCAGGUGUCAAGAGUCUACGUUAUAUUGAUGAUCAAACAAGUGCCAAGAGUCUUCCUUAUGUAAUUUUUUAGUUUUUUUGGCUUUAAAUGUUCGCCCUGGCUCACCUCAAAUCUUACUCCGCCACCGGUCCAACGCCAAUCUUCCUACCACUGCUCCACCAUCGGUAGAGGUGCGGUGGUUGAGGAGCAGCAGCUGAGGCGCAGACACUCGGAUGGGAGGAGCCGAAAGUUUGUCCUCUGUGUCGCGGAUACCGACGUCGAGCGCUCCACCAACAAGUCCGAUGAGAUGGUCCUCGGCGACUUCUCCUGGCUCAGCUUUUACUUCCUUCUCCUGAUUCGUUCCUGGUUUUACGGUUGGCUGUUGAGGAUGCCCAUAGAAGUCUGAGGAGGUGCUUUCUUGCACGAGUGUUCUUGCGGAUGCGAACGCACAUGAGUGUGCUUAUUGUUUCGCCGUUGAGAGAAGUGGUUGUGCAGGAUAUCAUAUCAAGGGUCAUCGUGAUCUCGCAGAACUUCUGAGCCAGCCUGCAUUCUUUCAGCUCUUGGGCUUUUAAGGAAGCUUUUCUACUCUAGCACCUGGUGUCGUUUUAAACAACAAGGUGCAAUAAUGGCUGUGGUGGCUUGCUUGAUCUCGGCAUGGUUGCUGAAGCCGUACAACUACGUUCUGCCUCCAGAUCUGACAACUCCAAUUUGGUAGCAGGAUAUAACCACAUUCUUGGUGGGGCGGUGAGCUACACAUGGCCAUUCAAUCAUUUUACUUUAUAAUUAUAAUUAUCCAUGCAUUGAUGUUAUUCUGAUUCCACGAUGAGCCGACCAAACAGAUUAAUUUCUCAGCAACAGGUUCUUUGAAGUAAUGGAUGCAUAGACAAUCAUUAUUUGAAGUUCUUAUCCUAAUGUCUUGGAUGAAUGAACUUGUGUUGCUCACGACCUGAAGUCUCUACGUGAAGUACUUACAAUCAUGUAUUGAUGAUAUUUUGGUCCUAAGUAUUUCUCCUAAUCCCUUGGACUGAAUGCACCAUCUUUUUAAUGUUUACAGAUGACUUUGCCUGUCUUUUUUUUUGACUUAUCAGAAGAUAUUGUUAUUUGUGUUUGGCACAUCCUAGCUUAUAGAAGAAGAGAACAAUGCUGGGUGAAGUGCAAUUAUGCAAGUUACGUUUUGAAUCAUGGAAGCACUAUGAAUGGCUGAAACUUAUUUUUUUUGUAUCAAUGAACAUGGUUGGUUAUAUUGUAGUAUAUAAUUUUUAGGUGUCCGAAUUAAAUCAUGACAAUGAAGAUGUUUUUUCAUCCUUUUGUCAACUAUGUUUGUUGUAACUUGAUCUUUGAUCUCUAGGGACUUGUGAAGUUGUGAGUUUGUACAUCAGCAAUAGACUAUUGGCUAUUGGCUA